RNAcentral lists this unclassified non-coding RNA (271 nucleotides) under Hevea brasiliensis (rubber tree). Lineage: Eukaryota; Viridiplantae; Streptophyta; Magnoliopsida; Malpighiales; Euphorbiaceae. The record is from RNAcentral.
CUCUUGAAAGUAAGGGUUUUAGGCAAGUAGAAGUAAGUUUAGCCCUUGUAGAAGGAAUGGAGAGGAGGUUUGAUUGGUUGGAGUUGGUGUCAAAAUGUAACUAAUUCAAGUAUUUAGGUUCUAUGAUUCAUAAGAACGGAAUAGUAAAUAAGGAUAUAUAUCAUAGGAUCAAAACAAGAUAGAUGAAAUGGAGAAGUGCAAUAGGUGUGUUGUAUGACCAUAACAUUCUAACAAAGUAAAUGUAAGUUCUAUAGAAUUAUGAUCAGACCAG